CCUACGGGAGGCAGCAGUGAGGAAUAUUGGUCAAUGGACGAGAGUCUGAACCAGCCAAGUAGCGUGAAGGAUGACUGCCCUCUGGGUUGUAAACUUCUUUUAUAUGGGAAUAAAAUGUUCAAAGUGUGGGAUUUUGUAUGUACCAUAUGAAUACGGAUCGGCUAACUACGUGCCAGCCGCCGCGGUAAUACGGUGGAUACGAGCGUUAUCCGGAUUUAUUGGGUGUAAAGGGAGCGUAGGGGGAUUGUUAAGUCAGUUGUGAAAGUUUGCGGCUCAACCGGAGAAUUGCAGUUGAAACUGGCAGUCUUGAGUGCAGUAGAGGUGGGCGGAAUUCGAGGUGUAGCGGUGAAAUGCUUAGAUAUCACGAAGAACACCGAUUGCGAAGGCAGCUCACUGGACUGCAACUGACGCUGAGGCUCGAAAGUGUGGGUAGCAAACAGGAUUAGAUACCCGUGUAGUC
Molecule: ribosomal RNA, 460 nt
Filed under: uncultured bacterium
Lineage: Bacteria
Description: partial 16S ribosomal RNA
Rfam family: Bacterial small subunit ribosomal RNA
Source: RNAcentral